CCUUUUGGAAUGGGGGACAGCAGAGGGACCAAUGGAUAACAAAAGACCUGCUUUCCUGCAUCGGAUUCUCUGUGCCUAUGAAAUGAUGGGAAGGCACCAACAUAGCAGUGGUGAGCAGGAGCUGAAGACCCUUCCCAGGACUGGCUGACCACCAAAGAACACUGCCAACCCCUCUACUUAUCAGCCUACUUCUCCUUCCACUCACUCUGGGGGUGGUUAUUUUUGUAUCCAUGUCACCCCAACACCUGGCAGAGACAGUAGACGAUGGAAAAGAUCACCUUUGCCUCACCGCUUCAGACAUCUUAUCAUGGGACUCAUCAUGGCAGAGAAGCCGUGGUGAAGUUCCUGAUGACAAAAGCAUGUGGCAGAGGCUCCUGAACAUCACCUUGAACAAGGAAGCAGGAACAAUGAACAGAAAAUGGGGGCAUUGGGCCUUGUCCUCAGAAGACUUGCCUCUCAUAAUGACUUACCUCUUCUAGCCAGCCCUCAGCACCCAAAGGUUCCAAAGCCCUUCAAAAUAUCAUGACCAGCUUGAGAACAAACCUCAAAGCAUCAUGAUAUGGAGGGGAUUUCAGAUACAAACCCAAACACCCCAACCACACAGCUCUUCCCCACUGUAACCCCCUUGCUAAUUUC
RNAcentral lists this long non-coding RNA (636 nucleotides) under Mus pahari (shrew mouse). RNAcentral's name for it is "protein tyrosine phosphatase receptor type T, opposite strand (MGP_PahariEiJ_G0003395.1)". Lineage: Eukaryota; Metazoa; Chordata; Mammalia; Rodentia; Muridae. The record is from RNAcentral.